GAACGCACAUUGCGCCCUUCGGUAUUCCGUUGGGCAUGCCUGUUCGAGCGUCAUUUAAUCAUUCAAGCUCUGCUUGGUGUUGGGUGUUUGUUCCGCCUCAGCGCGUGGACUCGCCUUAAAUUCAUUGGCAGCCGGUAUGUUGGCUUCGUGCGCAGCACAUUGCGUCGCGAUUCUGGCAGGCCUCCUCCCAUUAAGCUUCUUUUAAGUUUGACCUCGGAUCAGGUAGGGAUACCCGCUGAACUUA
Molecule: unclassified non-coding RNA, 244 nt
Filed under: Pleotrichocladium opacum
Lineage: Eukaryota; Fungi; Ascomycota; Dothideomycetes; Pleosporales; Melanommataceae
Description: sequence contains 5.8S rRNA gene
Source: RNAcentral